UCUGAUUAGCUAGUUGGUGAGGUAAAGGCUCACCAAGGCUCCGAUCAGUAGCUGGUCUGAGAGGACGACCAGCCACACUGGGACUGAGACACGGCCCAGACUCCUACGGGAGGCAGCAGUGGGGAAUUUUGGACAAUGGGGGCAACCCUGAUCCAGCCAUGCCGCGUGAGUGAAGAAGGCCUUCGGGUUGUAAAGCUCUUUCAGCCGGAAAGAAAUCGUACAGACUAAUACUCUGUAUGGAUGACGGUACCGGAAGAAGAAGCACCGGCUAACUACGUGCCAGCAGCCGCGGUAAUACGUAGGGUGCGAGCGUUAAUCGGAAUUACUGGGCGUAAAGCGUGCGCAGGCGGUUUUGUAAGUCAGAUGUGAAAUCCCCGGGCUUAACCUGGGAACU
RNAcentral lists this ribosomal RNA (394 nucleotides) under uncultured bacterium. RNAcentral describes it as "bacterial SSU rRNA". It matches the Rfam family "Bacterial small subunit ribosomal RNA", at positions 236 to 622 of the family's 1533-position model. The record is from RNAcentral.